CCUGGCUUCUCCUCCCUUAUCUCCUGCCCAGGAGGCAGGGGAAACUCCUUGUUAAUCAGAUGUUUCCCUGAGCCAAAUGAACCCCACUUGCAUAACUCACGCACUGGGGGUUCUGCACCACCGUGGAUGGGAUCGUGUCUGGCAGCUGAUGGCCGAGAGGACACUGUUGGGACCCCAUGGCAGUGGGUCCAGGAAGGAUACUCGUGUGGCCUGUGAACUGGUUAGAAGUCUACAGUCUUCUGAAAUCCAAGGCAUCUUACUUGCUCCCAUAUUUUGCUUUCUUCCUGAGAAACAACGUUUUCUAGAGCUCUGCUGUAGCAUGCAGCCUGAAUCUCCUAAGCAGCGCUGAAGGUGACUGCAACUCACAAAGGAUGUUGCCAUUAGAAGAAGCAAAGCUAUCCUACUCCCCAUCAAUAUCCUGGAAGGAGUACAGAAACAAGGCAAUUUUCAGGAAUUGUGUCUAAUAUUUUCCUAUUAGCGAUAGCAAACUUCAGAAAUCUCCAUGGCAAGUUCCAGGCAUUCACCAGUCUCAUGGCAGGACUCAAAAAGGCUGCAAUCAAUGUCACAGUCACAG
Non-coding RNA from Anas platyrhynchos (mallard), 574 nucleotides. The record is from RefSeq and is a predicted model, not a curated record. NCBI's taxonomy places the organism in Eukaryota, Metazoa, Chordata, Aves, Anseriformes, Anatidae.